Pelobates cultripes (western spadefoot toad) is the source of this 185-nucleotide non-coding RNA. The record is from the annotation of a GenBank genome assembly. Lineage: Eukaryota; Metazoa; Chordata; Amphibia; Anura; Pelobatidae.
CUCUAACCAUUCACCUUGCUUCCUUGAGCUUCUGGCAAAGAUCUCUAAUGAGACAAAAAGGGGUAUUUUUUACAUGUGUUCCCUAUUAAGGGUUAAUAUAUAGGGGUGUAUAUAAAAAAUACCCCUUUUUGUCUCAUUAGAGAUCUUUGCCAGAAGCUCAAGGAAGCAAGGUGAAGGGUUAGAGU